This 465-nucleotide ribosomal RNA is filed under the name uncultured bacterium. RNAcentral's name for it is "partial 16S ribosomal RNA". It matches the Rfam family "Bacterial small subunit ribosomal RNA", at positions 28 to 507 of the family's 1533-position model. The record is from RNAcentral.
GACGAACGCUGGCGGCAUGCUUAACACAUGCAAGUCGAACGGCAACACCCUGCUUGCUUGCUACUCCAGUUGCCAACGGGCGAGUAACACGGGGGUGCUCUGCCCUCCACUUCUGCAUCAGCUUUGGCAACUGGAACCAAUCCCUGAUACCGCCUCCCUCCAGCGGGUGUAAUCGAAAGAUUUUUCGGUGUAGCAUGAGCUCGCGGCCUAUCCGCUUGUUGGUGGGUUAAUGGCCUACCAAGGCGCCGACGCGUAGCCGGCCUGUGAGGGUGUACGGCGACCUAGGGUCUGAGGGAAGGCCCAGACGGCUACGGGAGGAAGAAGUGGGGAAGAUUGAACAAGGGGCGCAAGGCUGAUGAAGAGGGGCUGCGUGGGGGAUGAAGGCUUUGUGGUUGUAAAAAACUUUCGCUAGGGACGAAGCUUUUUGUGGCGGUACCUAGAGAAGAAGCACCGGCUAACUACGUG